This 867-nucleotide ribosomal RNA is filed under the name uncultured bacterium. RNAcentral's name for it is "bacterial SSU rRNA". It matches the Rfam family "Bacterial small subunit ribosomal RNA", at positions 630 to 1504 of the family's 1533-position model. The record is from RNAcentral.
AAACUGAUAGACUAGAGUAUGGCAGGGGUAGAGGGAAUUUCUAGUGUAGCGGUGAAAUGCGUAGAUAUUAGAAAGAACACCGGUGGCGAAAGCGCUCUACUGGACCAUUACUGACACUCAGAGGCGAAAGCUAGGGUAGCAAAAGGGAUUAGAUACCCCUGUAGUCCUAGCCGUAAACGAUGGAUACUAGAUGUUGUGCUUCAUGUACAGUAUCGUAGCUAACGCGUUAAGUAUCCCGCCUGGGGAGUACGCUCGCAAGGGUGAAACUCAAAGGAAUUGACGGGGGCCCGCACAAGCGGUGGAGCAUGUGGUUUAAUUCGAUGCAACGCGAAGAACCUUACCAGGGCUUGACAUACUACAAAUUUUUUGGAAACAGAAAAGUGCCUUCGGGAAUGUAGAUACAGGUGGUGCAUGGCUGUCGUCAGCUCGUGUCGUGAGAUGUUGGGUUAAGUCCCGCAACGAGCGCAACCCUUAUUUUUAGUUACCAAUUCGUUGGGUUCUCUAGAAAGACUGCCGGUGACAAACCGGAGGAAGGUGAGGAUGACGUCAAGUCAGCAUGCCCCUUAUGUCCUGGGCUACACACGUGCUACAAUGGUUAAGACAAAGAGUCGCUAGCUUGCAAAAGUUUGCUAAUCUCAUAAACUUAGCCUAAGUUCAGAUUGUAGGCUGCAACUCGCCUACAUGAAGUUGGAAUCGCUAGUAAUCGCUGGUCAGCCAUACAGCGGUGAAUCCGUUCCCGGGCCUUGUACACACCGCCCGUCACACCAUGGGAGCUGGUCAUACCCGAAACCGUUAGUUCAACCCUUCGGAGAACGACGUCUAAGGUAGGGCUAGUGACUGGGGUGAAGUCGUAACAAGGUAACCGUA